Molecule: ribosomal RNA, 549 nt
Filed under: uncultured Glomerales
Lineage: Eukaryota; Fungi; Glomeromycota; Glomeromycetes; Glomerales; Glomeraceae
Description: SSU rRNA
Rfam family: Eukaryotic small subunit ribosomal RNA
Source: RNAcentral
UUGGAGGGCAAGUCUGGUGCCAGCAGCCGCGGUAAUUCCAGCUCCAAUAGCGUAUAUUAAAGUUGUUGCAGUUAAAAAGCUCGUAGUUGAAUUUCGGGGUCAGUAGAUUGGUCAUGCCACUGGUAUGUACUGGUCUCACUGAUUCCUCCUUCCUGAUGAGCCGUAAUGCCAUUAAUUUGGUGUUGCGAGGAAUCUGGACUGUUACUUUGAAAAAAUUAGAGUGUUUAAAGCAGGCUAACGCUUGAAUACAUUAGCAUGGAAUAAUGAAAUAGGACGUUCGAUCUUAUUUUGUUGGUUUCUAAGAUUGACGUAAUGAUUAAUAGGGAUAGUUGGGGGCAUUAGUAUUCAAUUGUCAGAGGUGAAAUUCUUGGAUUUAUUGAAGACUAACUACUGCGAAAGCAUUUGCCAAGGAUGUUUUCAUUAAUCAAGAACGAAAGUUAGGGGGUCGAAGACGAUCAGAUACCGUCGUAGUCUUAACCAUAAACUAUGCCGACUAGGGAUCGGAUGAUGUUAAUUUUUUAAUGACUCAUUCGGCGCCUUACGGGAAAC